CUAACACAUGCAAGUCGAACGGUAACAGGAAACAGCUUGCUGUUUCGCUGACGAGUGGCGGACGGGUGAGUAAUGUCUGGGAAACUGCCUGAUGGAGGGGGAUAACUACUGGAAACGGUAGCUAAUACCGCAUAACGUCGCAAGACCAAAGAGGGGGACCCUCGGGCCUCUUGCCAUCGGAUGUGCCCAGAUGGGAUUAGCUUGUUGGUGGGGUAACGGCUCACCAAGGCGACGAUCCCUAGCUGGUCUGAGAGGAUGACCAGCCACACUGGAACUGAGACACGGUCCGGACUCCUACGGGAGGCAGCAGUGGGGAAUAUUGCACAAUGGGCGCAAGCCUGAUGCAGCCAUGCCGCGUGUAUGAAGAAGGCCUUCGGGUUGUAAAGUACUUUCAGCGGGGAGGAAGGGAGUAAAGUUAAUACCUUUGCUCAUUGACGUUACCCGCAGAAGAAGCACCGGCUAACUCCGUGCCAGCAGCCGCGGUAAUACGGAGGGUGUAAGCGUUAAUCGGAAUUACUGGGCGUAAAGCGCACGCAGGCGGUUUGUUAAGUCAGAUGUGAAAUCCCCGGGCUCAACCUGGGAACUGCAUCUGAUACUGGCAAGCUUGAGUCUCGUAGAGGGGGGUAGAAUUCCAGGUGUAGCGGUGAAAUGCGUAGAGAUCUGGAGGAAUACCGGUGGCGAAGGCGGCCCCCUGGACGAAGACUGACGCUCAGGUGCGAAAGCGUGGGGAGCAAACAGG
RNAcentral lists this ribosomal RNA (739 nucleotides) under uncultured Pseudomonadota bacterium. RNAcentral describes it as "bacterial SSU rRNA". It matches the Rfam family "Bacterial small subunit ribosomal RNA", at positions 48 to 776 of the family's 1533-position model. Lineage: Bacteria; Pseudomonadati; Pseudomonadota. The record is from RNAcentral.